GCAACCCUACCCGAACCCGCGGGUACCCCCCCCGCCCCUACCCGCUCGGGGCGGGUAAUUACCCGCCCCCGCACCGGGGCGGGUUUUAACGGGGCGGGUUCUUGUGCGGGGCGGGGCGGGGUCGGGUUUAGGUUAAACCCGUCCCUACCCGCCCCGGAGUGCAUAAAUAUAUAUAAAAAAAUUAAAAAUUAGGGUUACUUGACUUCACUUCCUCGCCGCCGUCACUCAUUUCAUUUCCAUUCUCAAAUCUCAACCCUAGGCAUUAGGCAAACUCUGAAGCUCACUUCGUCACUCACUCACUCUUCACUCCGUCAGGCUUGAGGCUUCAGGCCUUCAGCUCUUCUCCAACUCUCCAAGGCUGUCAAGGACCACAUCCUCUGCUCAGCUGCGCUAGUAAGUCGCCGUCACAGCUCGUCCGAUCGUUCGCCGUCGCUCACCAAGACACCAACCGUCCUCAUUCAUCUCGGUCGCCUCGCCGCUGUCGCUCACGGAGUUCACGUCCGCGUCGCUUCCACUUCUCGCCGUCACUGUCCUUGCCGACUCGCCUCUCCAAUCUGCGGUCUUUGGUCUGUGCUCACCUUGUCGUCCCUCCUUCCUCCGUCGUCAUCUCUCUGGUGACUGGUUUAAAUUUUGAUUUGCAAACUUUUAAUGAUGAUAAAGAUGUUGAAAGUGAUCAAGAAUAAGGGUUAAGAUU
Molecule: non-coding RNA, 694 nt
Organism: Arachis ipaensis
Lineage: Eukaryota; Viridiplantae; Streptophyta; Magnoliopsida; Fabales; Fabaceae
Source: RefSeq, a predicted model, not a curated record